GAAGCUCUCCAAAGAAAAUAUUAACGUUUUUGGCGUUUGUUGUAUUGAAUAUAUUGUUAACAAGAUCAAUAAGCUCU
This 77-nucleotide small RNA is filed under the name uncultured Fragilariaceae. RNAcentral describes it as "partial transfer-messenger RNA". The record is from RNAcentral. Lineage: Eukaryota; Bacillariophyta; Fragilariophyceae; Fragilariales; Fragilariaceae.